AGCAAGACCUCCAUGAUCCUUCCCACGACUUGGCCUCAUGAUCCUUAGUUCUAAUUUUGACCUCCUUGUAUUAAAAUUAUGCAGUUUUUUGCUGUAAUUUUUAUUGAACGGAAAUUAAAAAAAGUAAAAAAUAAAAGAGAAAUAAAAAGAAAUAAGCCAAUAAUCCAGCUAAAAGAAAACAAAACAGCACUAUAAUAAGACACGCGAUAGUUUAUCAACUUUUUUUCUAAUUAAUUAGGAAAAGUUUAUAAUCAGUUAUUUUCUACCUACCAAAGGAAAGAGUUAUAUAGAAAACCAAUCCACAUUUCAUGUUUUCCUUUUUGUUUCUUUAAUUUAUGUUAAUUAUUCUUUAUACACCGACAUUCAAGGUUUCCCCUUUAAUUACCUUUUAACUUCACUAUUCUCUUUACUUUCACGACCAAGAAUGUCCAGGUUCACUCUAUUCACCGCCAUGGGAUAUUAAUGGAGGUUAACUUUUGCGGUUUGUCCUUGCUGCAAAUCUUAUUGGACUUCCUGCUAUAGCUGUGCCUGUGAAGAAUGACAAACAAGGGCUUCCAAUAGGAAGGCAACUGAUUGGCCCUCCAUGGGCAGAAGCAUCAAUUUUAAGUUUGGCUUUUGCAGUAGAGGAACUCUUUGGAAACUCCAAGAAGAGGCCCGAAUCAUACUUCGAUAUUUCAACUGCCUGACUUUACCGGUGGUUUGUUGUCAUGUUUGCUAGAAAUACAAAUUAUAUGAUAUGAUAAUUAGUAAUUAUAUGAUAUGAUACUUUGAUUACUAUAUGAUAUGAUAAAUUAUAGAAAUAUAAAUUUCUGCCAUAUAACUUUAGGACUCAAAUUCUUCAUAGACGUAUGACUUUCCAUGAAGUCAUUAAUUUGAAUCUCUUGGGCAGGAGACUCGGAGUUUAUAGAUGAAAAAGUUUUUAAGUUUCUGGCUUUCCUUUUUUUUUUUUUUUUUUUGGCUUUAAAACUUUAAAUUUUCUGUUGGGUCUGUGUUCAAAAUAAGUGUAUUCGAUCAAAUUUUAAUGUUUUCCAAUUAUAUAUAUAUAUAUAUGUAGAUAUAUAUAUUUCUUCGUGAAUUAGGGUAUUAUUUUUUUAAAUAUAAUUGUUUCAAGUUGAACAAAAUGUGUGAAGGAAACGGAUUUAGUUCUUAGUAUAUUUCAACAAUUUAUUUUAUGAAUUUGAAUAUAUUGCGCUACAUAUUUCUCCAUGUGGCUUAUUGUUAAACAAACAUAGAUCACAAACCCUUUAGAUGUGUUUCAAUAUCACUACCUAAAUUGCAUAUAAAUGUUACAUUUUAUAGUUAAGAUAGAAUAUGUUGGAAUCAUACAGCAGAGUAGAAGUCAAAAAUCACAUAGUUGAAUAUAAUAUAUAAUAAAUAUAUUUUUAUCACCCAUUAGUAUUGGUGCAGAAAAUAUCAGAUCUGCAUGUGGGCGUAUCUGAUCACAAAAAGAAAUAAGAAGGUUAAUCUGAAAAACACAUCACUAUUUUUCUCUCAAGAUGUUUAAUUUUCUAUUGAGAUUCUAAUUCUCUAGAAAAUAAUACGUAAUCGUAUGUUAUUAGAAGUUAAUCCUAUUGUAUUUAUAGACUGCU
Long non-coding RNA from Ziziphus jujuba (common jujube), 1589 nucleotides. RefSeq lists it as uncharacterized. The transcript has 4 exons. The record is from RefSeq and is a predicted model, not a curated record. Lineage: Eukaryota; Viridiplantae; Streptophyta; Magnoliopsida; Rosales; Rhamnaceae.